UACGACAUAAAACACACCCGAAUACUAAAAACACUGUUUAAAAUUCAAAGAACUUGGCGGUGUCUUAUACAAUCAGGGGAACCUGUCCCUAAAAUCGAUAAUCCACGAGUGUCUUACCUUUUCUUGUAAAUCAGCUUGUGUACUGCCGUCGCAUGUAUACCUCUAAGAGUUAGCAUACAAAAAUAACUACUAUUGACGUCAGGUCAAAGUGCAGCCUAUGAAAAGGGGGAGAUGGGUUACAACUUUAAACCAAGCCAACCACUAAUAAAAAUUAGUAUUAAAGAUGGACUUGAAAGUAAUGAUUUUACUGUACAAUCAUGAAUUGUUAUCUAAGACAUGCACACAUCGCCCGUCACUCUCGUCGAAAGAUG
RNAcentral lists this ribosomal RNA (371 nucleotides) under Limnodrilus silvani. RNAcentral describes it as "partial 12S ribosomal RNA". It matches the Rfam family "Bacterial small subunit ribosomal RNA", at positions 875 to 1415 of the family's 1533-position model. Lineage: Eukaryota; Metazoa; Annelida; Clitellata; Tubificida; Naididae. The record is from RNAcentral.